GCCAACGUAGCAUAGCCCGGCCAAUGCGGCGGUCUUGUAAACCGCAGACCGUGGGUUCGAAUCCCACCGUUGGCU
This 75-nucleotide transfer RNA is filed under the name Methanobacteriota archaeon. RNAcentral describes it as "Euryarchaeota archaeon tRNA-Thr". It matches the Rfam family "tRNA". From Rfam's summary of the family: Transfer RNA (tRNA) molecules are approximately 80 nucleotides in length. Their secondary structure includes four short double-helical elements and three loops (D, anti-codon, and T loops). RNAcentral also lists the same sequence under 1 other name. Lineage: Archaea; Methanobacteriati; Methanobacteriota. The record is from RNAcentral.